This 291-nucleotide long non-coding RNA is filed under the name Nicotiana benthamiana. RNAcentral's name for it is "long non-coding RNA (NBEN_LNC005617)". The record is from RNAcentral. Lineage: Eukaryota; Viridiplantae; Streptophyta; Magnoliopsida; Solanales; Solanaceae.
CUUCUCAGCUGGUGAAGAUAAUAAAGUUUCAGCAAAUACUUUACAGCCAUGAGCCGACAUUAAUGAAGUGAUAUUCAUUUGACUCGGUUCUGGUGUUGGAGCUUCAGCCGCAGCCGACGGCAACAUUGUACUGUUCUGAAUAACAAAAAUAUUGUACGGUAUUUCGUCGAUGGCUUUGCGGUGUUGGAGCUUCAGCUGCAGCCGACGGCAACAUUGUACUGAUCUGAAUGACGGAAAUAUUGUACGGAAUUUCUUCGACGGCUUUGACAAAUGUCGCCGGAAGAUUACCGU